This 403-nucleotide ribosomal RNA is filed under the name Fusobacteriota bacterium. Its description in RNAcentral is "Fusobacteria bacterium partial 16S ribosomal RNA". It matches the Rfam family "Bacterial small subunit ribosomal RNA", at positions 355 to 776 of the family's 1533-position model. The record is from RNAcentral. Lineage: Bacteria; Fusobacteriati; Fusobacteriota.
UGGGGAAUAUUGCACAAUGGAGGGAACUCUGCUGCAGCGACGCCGCGUGAACGAAGAAGGCUUUCGAGUCGUAAAGUUCUUCUAUAUGGGAAGAUAAUGACGGUACCAUAAGAAAAAGCCCCGGCUAACUACGUGCCAGCAGCCGCGGUAAUACGUAGGGGGCUAGCGUUGUCCGGAAUCACUGGGCGUAAAGGGUUCGCAGGCGGAAAUGCAAGUCAGGUGUAAAAGGCAGUAGCUUAACUACUGUAAGCAUUUGAAACUGCAUAUCUUGAGAAGAGUAGAGGUAAGUGGAAUUUUUAGUGUAGCGGUGAAAUGCGUAGAUAUUAAAAAGAAUACCGGUGGCGAAGGCGAAUUACUGGGCUAAUUCUGACGCUGAGGAACGAAAGCGUGGGUAGCAAACAGG